Small nucleolar RNA from Podarcis muralis (Common wall lizard), 122 nucleotides. Ensembl annotates it as small nucleolar RNA SNORA26. Lineage: Eukaryota; Metazoa; Chordata; Lepidosauria; Squamata; Lacertidae. The record is from Ensembl.
UUGCGCACCUCAAGCGUCCCGUGCUGGAGGUGGUCAACACAGGGGGGCAGAGGAUUCCUCUCACUGAAACCCGGGGCAGGGCUGCCGCUCUCUGCUUCCGGAUCCUGUCGUGAGAGACACGU